GACUUGACAUCUCCUGAAUUACUCUUAAUCGAGGAAGUCCCUUCGGGGACAGGAAGACAGGUGGUGCAUGGUUGUCGUCAGCUCGUGUCGUGAGAUGUUGGGUUAAGUCCCGCAACGAGCGCAACCCUUAUUGUUAGUUGCUACUAUUAAGUUAAGCACUCUAACGAGACUGCCGCGGUUAACGUGGAGGAAGGUGGGGAUGACGUCAAAUCAUCAUGCCCCUUAUGUCUAGGGCUACACACGUGCUACAAUGGCUGGUACAACGAGCAGCAAACCCGCGAGGGGGAGCAAAACUUGAAAGCCAGUCCCAGUUCGGAUUGUAGGCUGAACCUCGCCUACAUGAAGUUGGAGUUGCUAGUAAUCGCGAAUCAGCAUGUCGCGGUGAAUACGUUCCCGGGUCUUGUACACACCGCCCGUCACACCAUGAGAGCCGGUAACACCCGAAGCCCGUGAGGUAACCGUAAGGAGCCAGCGGUCGAAGGUGGGAUUGGUGAUUGGGGUGAAGU
RNAcentral lists this ribosomal RNA (506 nucleotides) under Clostridium botulinum C. Its description in RNAcentral is "bacterial SSU rRNA". It matches the Rfam family "Bacterial small subunit ribosomal RNA", at positions 978 to 1486 of the family's 1533-position model. The record is from RNAcentral. Lineage: Bacteria; Bacillati; Bacillota; Clostridia; Eubacteriales; Clostridiaceae.